UGGGGAAUAUUGCACAAUGGACAGAAGUUUGAUGCAGCGACGCCGCGUGGAGGGUGUAGGCCUUCGGGUUGUGAACUCCUUUUUCUCGCGAAAAAGGCACAGUUUUGGCUGUGUUGAUGGUAGUGGGGGAAGAAGCGCCGGCUAACUACGUGCCAGCAGCCGCGGUAAUACGUAGGGCGCGAGCGUUGUCCGGAUUUAUUGGGCGUAAAGAGCUCGUAGGUGGUUCGUCGCGUCUGUCGUGAAAGCCAGCAGCUUAACUGUUGGUCUGCGGUGGGUACGGGCGGGCUUGAGUGCGGUAGGGGUGACUGGAAUUCCUGGUGUAGCGGUGGAAUGCGCAGAUAUCAGGAGGAACACCGAUGGCGAAGGCAGGUCACUGGGCCGUUACUGACACUGAGGAGCGAAAGCGUGGGGAGCGAACAGG
This 421-nucleotide ribosomal RNA is filed under the name Fusobacteriota bacterium. RNAcentral describes it as "Fusobacteria bacterium partial 16S ribosomal RNA". It matches the Rfam family "Bacterial small subunit ribosomal RNA", at positions 355 to 776 of the family's 1533-position model. Lineage: Bacteria; Fusobacteriati; Fusobacteriota. The record is from RNAcentral.